Molecule: long non-coding RNA, 1224 nt
Filed under: Callithrix jacchus (white-tufted-ear marmoset)
Lineage: Eukaryota; Metazoa; Chordata; Mammalia; Primates; Cebidae
Description: lncRNA (ENSCJAG00000057695.2)
Source: RNAcentral
CCUGCCUCAGCCUCCUGAGUUAACAUAUAUUUUUAAAGGCCACUCUGAAUUUUCUAUGGUGAAUGAAUUAGAGGAAGACAAGGCUGGAAUUGGGGGAGUGGUGGAGGAACCAUGCAUAGACUUGGAUAGGCCCCCCAGGGGGAGCUGUGAUCUGCCGGGAAGGAUGACUGUGGCUCGGGUCCUGACAGUGGCUGUGAAGGCUCAGGAAGAAGGGAGUCUAUUUUGGAGGUGGAAAUGACAGAAAUUGCUAAUGAGUUAGAAGUGACUCUUACAUAUCUGAUGAGCAAUUUCUGACUUCGGUUGUUAUAUUUCUGGCUUGGUGUGAUUUUUGGAGAUAGUAAAGGCUGAAGUAGGAACAAAUCGAUGAAAGAAGCAGGGUGUGGAUCAAGGCUUGUAUUUGUGUGCUUUAAGUUUUGGAUGGCAGUGAGUUAUUCUGGUGAGGCUGUCACAGAAAGAGGCUGCAGUGCAGAAGAUGGGUCUGGGCUGAGGCAUGCAGCCUGUCUUCAUGGUGACUGGAUCCUCCCCCACAGCCCUAUGGAGAGACUUUUCACAAAGAAUCCCAGCCCCAUGCGUCCUUCAGCCUGUACUGACCUGAUGCAGACAGGGAGAGAUGAACACAGAACCCUCCAGCUGGAAGUUCUAAGGUAACCUGAUAGAUACCUGAUGGAGCCAGCGCCUCCAGGGUAGAGCUUUCAGGAAUGCAUAUGGAAUUUACAAGAAAAAGGCAAAUUCAUCAUCACAGCAUGGGUGCAUUCUGUGAAAUGCAGAGUUACGUGAUUUCAUUGUUGUGAGGACAUCAUAGAGUGCACAUAUACACACCUAGAUGGCAGAGCCUAUACAAACCUACACUGUACGGUGUGGCCUAUUGCUCCUAGGUGCACACCUGCAUAGCACGUGACUGUACUGAAUACUGCAGGCAGCUGUAACACAAUGCUAAGUAUUUGUGUCUCUAAACAUAGAAGAGGGCCUGGGUGUGGUGGCUCACACCUGUAAUCCCGGCACUUUGGGAGUCCAAGGCAGGUGGAUCAUUUGAGGCCAGGAGUUCAAGACCAGCCUGGCCAACAUGAUGAAACUCCACCUCUACUAAAAAUACAAAAAAAUUAGCCUGGUGUGGUGGCGAGCAUCUAUAGUCCCAGCUACUUGGGAGGCUGAUGCAGGAGAAUUGCUUGAAUCCUGGAGGUAGAGGUUGGAGUUAGCUGAGAUCAUGCUACUGCACUAUAGCCU